UGCAUCAAAUGUCAUUGUAUCUCAUGGUUUUCUAUUUUUCUCCCUCUGUUGGAAUUUUUUUCCAUUCGUCUGGGCAUUUCAUAUGUGAGGUGUUAGCUAGGAAGUCAUAAGAUUUCUGUUAAUCUUCCUUUGAAAAAAAAAAUAAAGCCGGAAACAGGAAGCUGCAGGAGAGGAAGAGUGGUUAUAGAGGUACGCCAGCCAAUGAGAAGCCAACGUGAGAGCAGCAAAGCCAAGAAAUGAAGCGAGGAACAAAACAUCAUAGAGCUGAUGCUCUUCAAGCUACUGUAGCAUUCUCUGGCCGUUGGAGGGCUGAACCCUCUGAUUUGGAGGAGGCUGAAGGAGGUGGAGAGCCGCAGUGAGAACCGGGCUGAGAGCUUGAGUUACUGGAGCUGCUGGAGGAACUGGAGCCUCCGCUGCCACUGUUACUGGUUGGUCUGGGAACCAGUUUCUCCACUCGCUCCCACAG
This is a long non-coding RNA of Etheostoma spectabile (orangethroat darter), 466 nucleotides long. RefSeq lists it as uncharacterized. The record is from RefSeq and is a predicted model, not a curated record. The transcript is spliced from 3 exons. NCBI's taxonomy places the organism in Eukaryota, Metazoa, Chordata, Actinopteri, Perciformes, Percidae.